Transfer RNA from Micromonas sp., 81 nucleotides. It matches the Rfam family "tRNA". Rfam says of the family: Transfer RNA (tRNA) molecules are approximately 80 nucleotides in length. Lineage: Eukaryota; Viridiplantae; Chlorophyta; Mamiellophyceae; Mamiellales; Mamiellaceae. The record is from Rfam.
GACACUUUGGCCGAGCUGGUCUAAGGCGCAGGCUUCAGGUGCCUGUUCGUAAGAGCGUGGGUUCGAAUCCCACAGGUGUCA